UACGUAGGGCGCAAGCGUUGUCCGGAAUUAUUGGGCGUAAAGAGCUCGUAGGCGGCCUGUUACGUCUGCUGUGAAAUCCCGGGGCUUAACCCCGGGCGUGCAGUGGAUACGGGCAGGCUGGAGGCAGGCAGGGGAGAACGGAAUUCCCGGUGUAGCGGUGAAAUGCUUAGAUAUGACACAGAACACCGAUUGCGAAGGCAGCUUGCUAAACUGUGAUUGACGCUGAGGCACGAAAGCGUGGGGAUCAAACAGG
RNAcentral lists this ribosomal RNA (253 nucleotides) under uncultured bacterium. Its description in RNAcentral is "partial 16S ribosomal RNA". It matches the Rfam family "Bacterial small subunit ribosomal RNA", at positions 524 to 776 of the family's 1533-position model. The record is from RNAcentral.